GGCCAGACUCCUACGGGAGGCAGCAGUGGGGGAUAUUGCACAAUGGGGGAAACCCUGAUGCAGCGACGCCGCGUGUGGGAAGACGGUCCUCUGGAUUGUAAACCACUGUCCCCAGGGACGAAAAUGACGGUACCUGGGGAGGAAGCUCCGGCUAACUACGUGCCAGCAGCCGCGGUAAUACGUAGGGGGCAAGCGUUAUCCGGAUUUACUGGGUGUAAAGGGAGCGUAGACGGCUGUGCAAGCCGGAUGUGAAAGCCCGGGGCUCAACCCCGGGACUGCAUUUGGAACUGCGUGGCUUGAGUGUCGGAGAGGCAGGCGGAAUUCCUAGUGUAGCGGUGAAAUGCGUAGAUAUUAGGAGGAACACCAGUGGCGAAGGCGGCCUGCUGGACGAUGACUGACGUUGAGGCUCGAAAGCGUGGGGAGCAAACAGGAUUAGAUACCCUAGUA
This 447-nucleotide ribosomal RNA is filed under the name uncultured bacterium. RNAcentral describes it as "bacterial SSU rRNA". It matches the Rfam family "Bacterial small subunit ribosomal RNA", at positions 329 to 792 of the family's 1533-position model. The record is from RNAcentral.